RNAcentral lists this transfer RNA (68 nucleotides) under Marmota monax (woodchuck). RNAcentral describes it as "tRNA.Ala". Lineage: Eukaryota; Metazoa; Chordata; Mammalia; Rodentia; Sciuridae. The record is from RNAcentral.
GUUGUGGCUCUGUGGUAGAGUGCUUGCCUAGCACACGUGAGGCACUGGGUUCGAUCCUGAGCACAACA